RNAcentral lists this non-coding RNA (31 nucleotides) under Mus musculus (house mouse). Lineage: Eukaryota; Metazoa; Chordata; Mammalia; Rodentia; Muridae. The record is from RNAcentral.
UCGAAGGUUUUACCAGGCUUUGGCCCAGCAG